CCCAGGGGCAGGAUCCCUCAGGAGAAGAGCCUUAGCGCUGACGAUUCCAUAAACUGUAUGGUUCAUCCCUGGUGCUCCGUAAAUGGCCACUGGUCCCAAAUUAGUAUGUGGGUAAUAUGACUGAAGAAUAUGAAGUCCUUAGUUAAAAUGUUUGUAACCCAGUUUGACAUUAUUUAAAUAAAUUUCUUCUGGAUGAGACAGUUUGAAGACAUCUGUUGGGUUUGGCAUUUAUUUUAUGUUAUGUAAGUCUGACCUUCUAAUAUAACUGCUCAGACUUUGUUCAAAACAGCAAAUUUCUUUCUGUUAUAGAUUCCCCUGUGUUAUUGUGAGUCCUUUUUUUGAUAUACUUGUGGUACCUGUCUCUGUCUCUGAUCAAAAGCAGGAGUAUGGAAGCUUAGAAGAUUCUGGUAAUACUGAGCAGCAGUUACAUUGAUACCCUGUUUGAGAGCAGCUGGUUAUCAGAGGCUGAAGCCAAUAUCAUCAUUUCGUUUGUCUUAUCGUGCUGAGUCCAAGCUUUGCCAUUUAAAUUCAGCCAGAUGUUCCUUAGCAGAGCUACUUUGAAUCCAGUAUGUUGCAGUACAACCCCAUCAGUGCUGAUCCCACUCUGGCAUCUUUUCUUUUAGUGCACCCCUGUUACCUUUCUCUUAAUUACUGAAUUACCCUGAAAUGUUUGUA
This is a long non-coding RNA of Myiozetetes cayanensis, 675 nucleotides long. RefSeq lists it as uncharacterized. The record is from RefSeq and is a predicted model, not a curated record. The transcript is spliced from 3 exons. Lineage: Eukaryota; Metazoa; Chordata; Aves; Passeriformes; Tyrannidae.